RNAcentral lists this transfer RNA (58 nucleotides) under Ictidomys tridecemlineatus (thirteen-lined ground squirrel). Its description in RNAcentral is "Spermophilus tridecemlineatus (thirteen-lined ground squirrel) tRNA". It matches the Rfam family "tRNA", at positions 8 to 63 of the family's 71-position model. Rfam says of the family: Transfer RNA (tRNA) molecules are approximately 80 nucleotides in length. Lineage: Eukaryota; Metazoa; Chordata; Mammalia; Rodentia; Sciuridae. The record is from Rfam by way of RNAcentral.
UAGCUCACUUGGUAGAGUGCUUGCCUCACAUGCAUGAGGUCCUGGGUUCAAUUCCCAG